Molecule: unclassified non-coding RNA, 854 nt
Filed under: Leishmania donovani
Lineage: Eukaryota; Euglenozoa; Kinetoplastea; Trypanosomatida; Trypanosomatidae
Description: gene:LdHU3.36.0740(CDS-product:hypothetical_prote in_conserved)
Source: RNAcentral
CAAAAAGCCACUAAGAGGUAAGAAAAAGGGCUGAAUUCGCCUGCAUGGUGCUGGGUGCUGCAGAAUGAGCUUCUUUGACUUCUCAGCAAGCUCUUCUGAGAGCAGCAGUCAGUCGGACAACAGCAGCAAGGUGGAUGACCGGAUCAAGCUUACGUACGCUGAAACAGUGGUUUCUUUGGCAACUGCUGUUGGCCUCGUGAUCAUUGUUUUGCUGGAUCUUCUUUACAGAAGCACCUCCCGUCAUGCAAUGCUUCUCAGAGUUCAACGCGAAACGCGUUUUGACGGUGCCUAUAUUCUUGGUAAACCAGAAGGAAACCGUGCGCGAAUAAUUUUGGAAAAUGGGCUGAAGACACAUGAGUUUCGUAUCCGCCACCCUCCUCAGUACUCAAGAGUGGUUCCCGCCGUCGUCUCGGAUUCGCGCGACGCAAAGCAAGACUGUGUUGAGAUGCUUAGCAAAGUACGCUCAAUACUUUCUAAGUCGUACGGAAGAUGCGCGGAAUUGAUGUCCAUGCGCUGCUGUCUUGCCUGUGUCACAGGCGCUCUUCCAGGUGAGCAGUCAGAGCGUUUUCUUCGAAUAUAUGAAAGGGUCAUGUUUUGCUCACACCGAGUGAACGGAGACGAGAAGCUUGUCACAUCAGAUGAUAUACGGUACAUGCAUGCCUUCUACUAUAAUAAUGUACUCAAAGUUCUGCAAUGAUCGAAGUGAGCAUCUGAUUUUGCAGCUCAAUUACGUUUUCUUUUUUUUGUUGUUGCUUCUUUCGUCUUUUUUUUUUGCUGUCUGCUUGUCAAGCGCUCUUGUGAGGGAGACACUUAGAUGAAGCGACUCACCGCUAUCUUCUUACAAACCAAGAGUG